RNAcentral lists this ribosomal RNA (691 nucleotides) under uncultured bacterium. RNAcentral's name for it is "bacterial SSU rRNA". It matches the Rfam family "Bacterial small subunit ribosomal RNA", at positions 35 to 709 of the family's 1533-position model. The record is from RNAcentral.
GCUGGCGGCGUGCCUAAUACAUGCAAGUCGAGCGGAACCUUAGGAGCUUGCUCCUUUGGUUUAGCGGCGGACGGGUGAGUAACACGUGGGCAACCUGCCCUGCAGAUCGGGAUAACUCCGGGAAACCGGUGCUAAUACCGAAUAGUUUGCGGCCUCUCCUGAGGCUGCACGGAAAGACGGUUUCGGCUGUCACUGCAGGAUGGGCCCGCGGCGCAUUAGCUAGUUGGUGAGGUAACGGCUCACCAAGGCCACGAUGCGUAGCCGACCUGAGAGGGUGAUCGGCCACACUGGGACUGAGACACGGCCCAGACUCCUACGGGAGGCAGCAGUAGGGAAUCUUCCGCAAUGGACGAAAGUCUGACGGAGCAACGCCGCGUGAGUGAAGAAGGUUUUCGGAUCGUAAAACUCUGUUGUGAGGGAAGAAUACGUACCAGCUAACUACUGGUACCUUGACGGUACCUCACCAGAAAGCCACGGCUAACUACGUGCCAGCAGCCGCGGUAAUACGUAGGUGGCAAGCGUUGUCCGGAAUUAUUGGGCGUAAAGCGCGCGCAGGCGGUCCUUUAAGUCUGAUGUGAAAGCCCACGGCUCAACCGUGGAGGGUCAUUGGAAACUGGAGGACUUGAGUGCAAAAAAGGAAAGUGGAAUUCCAUGUUGUAGCGGUGAAAUGCGUAAAGAUGUGGAGGAACAC